UCCGAGUUGACCCCGGCAGUCUCCUACGAGUCCCCACCAUUACGUGCUGGCAACAUAGGACAAGGGUUGCGCUCGUUGCGGGACUUAACCCAACAUCUCACGACACGAGCUGACGACAGCCAUGCACCACCUGUCACCCAGUCCGAAGAGGGCCCCAUCUCUGGAGCUUUCCGGGUGAUGUCAAACCCAGGUAAGGUUCUUCGCGUUGCAUCGAAUUAAUCCGCAUGCUCCGCUGCUUGUGCGGGCCCCCGUCAAUUCUUUUGAGUUUUAGCCUUGCGGCCGUACUCCCCAGGCGGGACACUUAACGCGUUAACUGCGGCACAGAGGGAUUCGACUCCCCCCACACCUAGUGUCCAUCGUUUACGGCUAGGACUAC
RNAcentral lists this unclassified non-coding RNA (376 nucleotides) under uncultured Actinomycetes bacterium. RNAcentral describes it as "uncultured actinobacterium contains 16S-23S intergenic spacer region". Lineage: Bacteria; Bacillati; Actinomycetota; Actinomycetes. The record is from RNAcentral.